Non-coding RNA from Phalacrocorax carbo (great cormorant), 1079 nucleotides. Lineage: Eukaryota; Metazoa; Chordata; Aves; Suliformes; Phalacrocoracidae. The record is from RefSeq and is a predicted model, not a curated record.
AGCACCCAAAAUGGCACAUUUAACUGGAACAAUAUAUUAAUACAAACAGGGGAUUACAGCUGAGCAGGGUGCUUAACUGUCUACAGUUAAUUUAUAGCUAACUGAAGUGCUCGUUUACCCUGGUUAGAGUAUACAUCCACACAGCAACUUUGUGAGCGAAGGAUUUCAUCACACUUCAGAGAAGCGUACUCGCAUGUUAUCUGACCUUACUGCCAUUAACGUGCUUGCAAUAGGAAAAUGUACCUUUGCCCAGGUAUUUCACCAUGCUACCUGCAAAUCAGAUGAAGAACAGCUUGAGCUGGUUGAGCCAUUUAAUUGCUCCAUUGAAAACAACUGAGGAAGAAGCAGACCAAUGGAAAAAGAGGGUGUUGGUCUUGUUAACCCACAGGUGAGGUAACUUUCUGCUUUUUGGCGAGGUUAUAAAAGGAGGAAAAGAAGAAGAAGGUGUUUUUCUUAGGAGCAAGCAUGUAGGAGUAAUUUGGGACAAAAAAAGAACUUAGGCAAAUUUCUGGGGUGAAGCCUUUCUAGAGGUCUGUGGAUGUUUGUUUUGCUCUUUAUCAGGUGGGGACAGAUGCCAGCUCGCCCAGCUCCCACCUGCUGCCGAAAGUCCCGUCUCUCCAUUUGCAGUAGCCUGCUUAGCAAAAACCCGGGCUCCUUCGUUGGGUGUACGUCUGGACUCGAGACCCCCAGCUGAGCUGGCUCUCCUGCUUGGAGUGGAAGGCAAGUGCCUCUUUAAUGCUGAGCUCAUAGGGCUGGGACUGCCUUAACGUGAAACAGCGCUCUCCUGCCUGGCUCAAGUGGGUUACAAAACCAAAUGUGCUCGGUCGCUGUGUGCCUCCAGCCCAGGACAGUGGGAGGCCUCACGACCCAAGUAUUUAUCUGCAGGCAGUAAAAGAGGCCGCCUGAGGAGGUGACGGGCAGGAGGGAAUGAAUUGUCCCCUCUCUCCACUGGGUGUGAGCUACCCUGCCACUACAAGGACACACCAAGGGCCUCCCGCAUCUCAAGGGCCGAGCGCAGGAUUUGCUUGCUUCACCUUCCCUCUCCCACCUACCGCGGUGGCUGCGUCUCGGGCACUUGG